CCGGCUAUCGAUAGUCUGCGAAAUGUAUCGCCGCCAGUGAUGUGCAAGGUUGCAGCUUUCGUACCUAGAUACAGGUACAAAUCUGUACCUAGGGUAAUAUUUUGCAUAUCAAACCAUCAUUUACUAUCCCCCACAAGUCGGAUCGAUUUAAGAACCAAUUUGAAGGACAUGCACAAGAGUAAAAUACGAAAUACUUUUAUUCAUAAGAUUUUAACAAAUAAAUAAUCAAGUGUAAUACAA
Drosophila sechellia is the source of this 240-nucleotide long non-coding RNA. RefSeq lists it as uncharacterized. The transcript is spliced from 2 exons. The record is from RefSeq and is a predicted model, not a curated record. NCBI's taxonomy places the organism in Eukaryota, Metazoa, Arthropoda, Insecta, Diptera, Drosophilidae.